GAUGAAGAACGCAGCGAAAUGCGAUAAGUAAUGUGAAUUGCAGAAUUCAGUGAAUCAUCGAAUCUUUGAACGCACAUUGCGCCCGCCAGUAUUCUGGCGGGCAUGCCUGUCCGAGCGUCAUUUCAACCCUCGAACCCCUCCGGGAGGUCGGCGUUGGGGAUCGGCCCCUCACCGGGCCGCCCCCGAAAUCCAGUGGCGGUCUCGCCGCAGCCUCUCCUGCGCAGUAGUUUGCACACUCGCACCGGGAGCGCGGCGCGGCCACAGCCGUAAAACACCCCAAACUCUGAAAUGUUGACCUCGGAUCAGGUAGGAAUACCCGCUGAACUUAAGCAUAUCAAUAAGCGGAGGA
This 349-nucleotide unclassified non-coding RNA is filed under the name soil metagenome. RNAcentral describes it as "partial contains 5.8S ribosomal RNA, internal transcribed spacer 2, and large subunit ribosomal RNA". The stretch from base 1 to 120 matches the Rfam family "5.8S ribosomal RNA", at positions 35 to 154 of the family's 154-position model. The record is from RNAcentral.